AAUAUUGCGCAAUGGAGGUAACUCUGACGCAGCGACGCCGCGUGAGCGAUGAAUGACUUCGGAACGUAAAUCUCUGUCCUUGGGGAAGAAGGGAGCCGUAAGGCUUCUUGAAGGUACUCUUGGAGGAAGCCUCGGCUAACUACGUGCACGCAGCCGCGGUAAUACGUAGGGGGCAAGCGUUGUCCGGAAUUAUUGGGCGUAAAGGGUGCGUAGGCGGCCCUUUAAGUCAGAUGUGAAAGCCCACGGCUUAACCGUGGGACUGCAUUUGAAACUGGAGGGCUUGAGUGUCGGAGAGGGCAGUGGAAUUCCCAGUGUAGCGGUGGAAUGCGUAGAUAUUGGGAGGAACACCAGUGGCGAAGGCGACUGCCUGGACGAUAACUGACGCUGAGGCACGAAAGCUAGGGGAGCAAACA
RNAcentral lists this ribosomal RNA (413 nucleotides) under uncultured bacterium. RNAcentral describes it as "partial 16S ribosomal RNA". It matches the Rfam family "Bacterial small subunit ribosomal RNA", at positions 360 to 774 of the family's 1533-position model. The record is from RNAcentral.